AUUUAGUUAAGGUACAGAGUAGUCAUAAAAGAGGAUUCUAGAAACGUUCAAAGCAACAGAGGUAUACUAAAUCAAAUAUUGUGUUGUGUGAUGUUCCCAUUAUUCAUAAGAGAUUGUUAGAUGAUAUUGUGAUUACAGGGGGUAUGGGUGAAAGGAUAGUGUUAAAGAAAUCUAAAAUGGAUGUUGGUGUGAAUCCAUCUUUUUUAUCAGAGGCAACCAGGGGCAAUAGUCACUGUCGCCUACAGCCAUGAAACUGAUAAGUUACAAUUAUCGAGGUCUAGGGAACUCUUUGGCAGUUGCUAAUUUGAGGCGAUUGGUUCAAUCGUAAGUUCCCAAUCUCCUCUUCCUGAUGUAGACUCGUACAUUGAAGGAAAGGAUGCUUUUUCUUCGUAGCAGUUUGGGGUUCAAGGGUGGAUUUAUGGUUAGGGGUGUUAAUGGUGGAGGUGGUCUUCCUUGUUUCUGGGAUGACUCUGUUUGCCCAAUAUUAUUGUCCUAUUCUAUUAAUCAGAUUGAUUUUGAGAUGUCUUCUACUGGUGGUGGUGAUGUUUAGAGGUUGACUUGUUCUAUGGAUGGGCAGAACGGCAUUUAAAAUUUCAUUCAUGGCGGUUAUUGCAUCGGCUUUAGGGUACUUCCUCUCUUCCAUGGUUAGUGGUUGGGGAUUUUAAUGAGAUUUUAGCAAACUCAGAAAAAGCAAGAGGAAAUCUACAAUAUGAAAGGUGCCUGUAUGCUUUUCGUUCUGCUCUAGUUGAUUGUGCUCUUACUAAUUUGGGUUUUAGGGGCUAUCCCUUUACAUGUGAUAAUGGUAGAAGUGGCAAUGGGUUUGCGGUGGAACGUCUAGAUAGAGGGCUCAUGUUGGUGAGUUGGAUUCAUAAGUUUCAGGGUGUGGUUUUAUCUCAUUUGUUACGCUCUUGCUCGGACCAUAUCCCAAUUGUGGUUGAGAUCCAGAAACAACUUUUUUCUCAUCGAAGUAGGAGAUACAGGUUCCGAUUUGAAGCUAUGUGGUCUAGAGAACCUAGUUGUAUGGAAGUUAUUUGGUCUAGUUAGGGGAUGUUGGGUUUGGCGGAUUGGGGUGCUUGGGUUGCCAAUUGUUCAAAGGAGUUAAGUGAUUGGAGUCUUUCGGUGUUUGGCAAUUUUAAGCAACAGAAGUAGGCCUUAAUUGUUCAGUUUUUGCGGUUUGGUAAUUUAGAGGAUGAUGAUGUAUUACAGCAGAGGCAAUCUCUUAAAGUUCAAUUAUCCGAAGUGUCUCUUAGGGAGGAAAUAUGGUGGCGUCAAAGGGCAAAGAUUCAAUGGCUUAACGAAGGGGAUUGGAAUACACGGUACUUUCAUGCUGUAGCAUCUAAGAGGCAUCGAGUUAAUCAUACAGGUUCUCUUAUUGAUUUUGAUGGGCGUGAGCUUUGGGAUAUUGAGCUUCAUGAUCAUAUUGUUAGUUUUUAUUCUGAUUUGUUUACUUCUACUGCACUCGAGGUGGACAAGUCGAAUUUAAGCAGAAGAAAUACUUAGUGCAUUGAAUACGAUGCAUCUGUUAAAGGCGCCUGGUCCAGAUGGUCUCCCUCCUCUUUUAUUUUCCAGUGGCAUUGGUUAGUUAUUGGAUCGGAUGUUAUGCAGUUGAUAAUUUCGGUUCUUAAUGGUGGUGAGAUGCCUGAUGGGUUCAAUCAUACUCAUAUUUGUUUAAUUCCAAUGGUAGAGGAUCCUAAGUCUGCUUCUGAGUUCCACCCAAUUAGCCUUUGCAAUGUUAUUUGCAAAAUUGCCACAAAAGUCAUUGUAAAUCAGUUAAAACAUAUUUUAGGAGAUAUCAUUAAUGAGUCUCAGAGUGCUUUUGCACCGGGCCAUUUGAUAACAAAUAAUAUUUUAAUUGCUUUCAAAAUAUUCCAUCAUAUGAAGGUGAGUGGUAGGAAUUGUAGGUGGUUGAUGUCAUUAAAACUGGAUAUGGCGAAAGCAUAUGAUAGGGUGGAGUGGUCUUUUUUAAAAGCAGUAAUAUUACGUCUUAGUUUCUCUCCAAUUUGGGUUAAUACUAUUGUGAG
RNAcentral lists this unclassified non-coding RNA (2021 nucleotides) under Hevea brasiliensis (rubber tree). The record is from RNAcentral. Lineage: Eukaryota; Viridiplantae; Streptophyta; Magnoliopsida; Malpighiales; Euphorbiaceae.